GCGAGGCGGAGCGAAUCCCUAAAAGACCGUCCCAUUCGGAUUGCAGGCUGCAACCCGCCUGCAUGAAGUUGGAAUCGCUAGUAAUCGCGGAUCAGCAUGCCGCGGUGAAUACGUUCCCGGGCCUUGUACACACCGCCCGUCACACCAUGAGAGUCGGGGACACCCGAAGUCCGUAGUCUAACCGCAAGGGGACGCGGCCGAAGGUGGAUUCGAUAAUUGGGGUGAAGUCGUAACAAGGUAUC
Molecule: ribosomal RNA, 242 nt
Filed under: uncultured bacterium
Lineage: Bacteria
Description: partial 16S ribosomal RNA
Rfam family: Bacterial small subunit ribosomal RNA
Source: RNAcentral